Mustela lutreola (European mink) is the source of this 809-nucleotide long non-coding RNA. RefSeq lists it as uncharacterized. The record is from RefSeq and is a predicted model, not a curated record. The transcript has 3 exons. NCBI's taxonomy places the organism in Eukaryota, Metazoa, Chordata, Mammalia, Carnivora, Mustelidae.
GCCACCACCAGAAAACCUCCGAGACACCUGGAGAAGUUUCUGGGCUCCGAGUUUCACCCUGUGGUCAGAGCCUUUCUGUGUGAUGUCCUGAAAGUUUUACACAAUCUCUGUGAAAGACAGGUGCACGAUUUGGGGCCCGUUUUAUAACCAAGAAACAUAAGAUCAGGUACUCUCCCUUCCUGGGUAUCCUCAUCAGGAUUUUCCUCUUCCUGUAAGGACAUGAAUCAGUAUGACUUUAUCUUUACUUGAUCACAUCUGCAAAGACCCUCUUCCCAAAUAUGGCCACAUUCCCAGGUCCAGUCACCAUCGUUGACAUCUGGCCUCAGAGUCCUCAAAAUGGAAGUCAGCUUUUAUAAGACGAACCCUGGAAAGAGCUCUCGGAUUUCCAUGGAGAAGCAUCUGCUUCAUAAAACGAGUCUCCAGAAAGCCUGCUUCUGUCAAAGUUGUUUAGUGAAAGGGCCACAGUUGGCAUGGCUUAAAGCAGAAGCACAGUGAAUACUGUUGUCCAUGGUGCUUAAUUCUGGAAGGGGUGCGGGGCCCUGCCAGCCAGCAGUGCCAAAAACCAUGUUCAAGAUAGUUUUGAUUCAAGUGCUUAUGAAGAAUAGGGUUGCUUUGGGCAGGGGAGCGGCUUUCUGCCCAAAGUAGUUCCUACCUAUGACAGACAGGACAAACCAGCAUGGCCCAUGGACGCAGCAAAAGGGAACUUGGUAUAUGGAAACGCGCCUUUGAGAUUGAAAUGUUUGAAAAUGUGAAUCAAAUAUGGAGAAUGCCAAAAAGGAAAAAGGAAUCACAUAAGCACAUUAUGCCAA